Molecule: long non-coding RNA, 3213 nt
Organism: Rhododendron vialii
Lineage: Eukaryota; Viridiplantae; Streptophyta; Magnoliopsida; Ericales; Ericaceae
Exons: 2
Source: RefSeq, a predicted model, not a curated record
CUUAAUGAAGGCUUCUCUUUCGUUUUUGGCAAUUUUCUAACUUAAUUUGGAAUCACUUUGAUGAUCCGAUUCGUUUAUAUUAUAGAAAUUGUCAAUUAAAAUAAUUAUGUACAAUAUCAAGUCAAUCGAACACUUGGUAUUUAAUCGGAGAACAUAUAUUUUGAAAAAAUAAGAAAGAAAGUGAGCUGUGCACACUCGAUUACAACUCGAAAGACUUUUUCCCUCGAAGGCUUUUGGAGUAGUCCGUUACAACCGUUGCAAAUCCAAGUCCACCUUCACCGCCGCCGAUCCGAGUUCCUAUCACUGAGUCAGCCAGUAGUCGGUAGAGGUGUGUUCGCGACUCGGGCGCGAUCGGAGCUGGUGAACUCAUCCACACGGCUAAACCCAUUGUCUCUCACCCUUCUCUCUCUCUACAACAACCGGUGUUUGCUGUUUGUGUGCCUCAGAAGUCUCAGAAACAAUCUAAUGUGUUUGACAUUUGGCUUCUGAAGGAAGUCGUUUUUCGGCCUAUGGUUUUGUAAAGCCUUGAUUCGAAAGUAAGCAGCACGAUCGGGAUCAAUAGCUUUGAGCCAUUCUUUCAACUGAAGUUUUCCGGGCAAUUGAGAUUCAUAUGACUUGGAACUUCACGGGUGGUGGAUGAGAAAGUUUUGGUUGAUCCAACCAUGCUUAUCCGAAGCUUAUCAUUGAGUAACAUGAAGCUUAAGUUGAGGCAAAAAGGAAAAGAGUUCAGAAUGACACGAGCUUAAAAUAGUAAUGCCCUUAUUUUCUCCUAUAAUAAUGUUGUAUUUUCUCUUACUAAGCUAACACACACUCUGUCUGUUUCGGCCGAAAAUUUCUGGGGUUUGGUGCGGCGGAAAACAAAAAUCAACGGAAGUUGUUUCUGUGGUAAACAGAAAAUGUGGUGGUGUUUCUUUUUUUGGCGUUCAAAAAAAGAAAAUGAGUUGCUUUUGAUGAGAAUCAUUUUCCAGGCCGGCACCACUACCACAACACAGUACUGCCUCCACCUCUCAAUGACAACCACCAUACCGCCACCCACCACUGCUCCUGCUACCACCAACUCCCGUCACUACCACCAUCACUACCCUAAUCACAAGCACCAUUGUUCGCAGGGUGCAGCCAACCACGAGAAACCGUUGGUUUUUGAGAAAACCUUUUGCUGAAACUAAUAGAGCAUCUGUGUAAAGAUAGCAUCACACUUCCCCCAAGUGUUUAGCGAUGGUCAUAAAAGAAAAUGGCUAAACAAUCCUUUUUAUCUUCCCUUCUUACAUACGUGCUCUAAACAAUCCAUUUUUAUUUAUUUUGUGGAGAUGCCAAUAUUGAUUUCCUCACUCCAGUUACAAAUUAUCCCAUUUAUGGCCCAAUGCUUUUUGUAUCCUCUUACAAUGCUGGUUUGAUUUAUCCAAAGCUUGUGCUAACUUUCUCACAUCUCUUAGAUUUUUUGCGGCCCUUCAGCUAAUACAUUUAUGGCACCAAUUAUUUGAAGUCUAACAUGAUGAAUUUUCGGAUUUCAGUGCUCUCAACCUGCUCUAAGGAUGUGUUCAAUUGGAUGAUCAAAAUAUGUUUACGUGCGUGUGUAUUUGAGUCAUUAGCUUUCAAGUCUUGUAGUGAUAGAACUAUUUAGAUCAAAUUAUCCACAUUGUCUCUACAUGCCUUUGUUUCUGUCGUUCUUCCUACUUUCCUUCCCAUAAUACUCUCAUUUGUUAAUCCUCCUCCAUUUAUUUGGUAUCAUUUUCGAAGAUUCGGCAGAACUUUUAGCUACUAGACUCGUAUUUCAUAAUGGAGUUUCUGAAUUAUGCGUUGGUGCAAAGCCUUUUGGUGUAUAGAAAGUUCGAGUAUAAUUUUUUAUCAGUUUUUUGUGUUUAUGAAAUCAUUACUAUGACUGGUUUGGUGGGCUGGUUUUACCUGCGAUAUCCCCAUGUGUCCUCCGUUUAAAGUGGGGGUGAAAACCUCAUUAAGCUCUUCAUUUUCUGGACCAACUAUGAUAUGAGCACACCAUGAAACAAGAAGACAAUGUAUGUGUUUAUUUCUAGUGGUGAAGCAUUGGUUCAAUGUGUUUAUUCCUAGAGGAUAUUGAAAUGGCCAGGAGCAAGUGUCAGGUGAUUCGAUAAUAGAAUCUGACUCAAUGCCCUUAUCAAACAAAUUGAGCAAUGGCUGGCUACUCUAGAUUUGGAUAGAAUGUUUAUGGGAGACUUAGCCAAAUGUUUGUUUUUAUUCCCUCAAAGAUGUCAACCAUUUACAUUAACCAUGUUUAACCCAAGGCAAAACUUUCCUUUUUCUGGGCUAUGCUCUCCAAUGUACCCAAAAGAAAAUUCUUAGCAUGCAAAAAUUCCAGUGUGACCACGUAGCUGCCCAAUAAUGUAUGGUCACGUAAUCACUUUGUCAAUGUGUAUAUAUGCAUUGAUGUUCUCGUCAUAUAACUCGUACCGAAAUAUUUCAUUUUUUCGCAUCAUUUCUUUCUCUAUCUUUUCACUUCCCUUUUUUUUUUCCUUAGUUUUUGGCUUUCGUUCUGCAAAUUCAAGCUCAAAAAGCACAAGCUUACAAUUAUCAGUUUUGUACCUUCUCACAUGUCCAACAUCAGCAACCAAAAAUAGCAAGCAAACGAACCAAUGAACAACUAACCAUGAAUUACAUAAAUACUGUAGUAUUGGUUGAGUAUAGUGGACAUGACUGGUUGCAUAAUCAGAUGCUAGCAAGACACAAAUAAAGAAUUUGGGAAUAUAUCUGCUCUGUGGGAAAUGAAGAUUCAAACACAGCUGCCAUUGUAAAAAAUGGUUUAUGGAUUAGACUGGGAAAUGGUGCAGCAACUAGUUUUUGGUCUGAUUUAUGGUUGGCAGAAUCUGCUCCUCGUAGCACCCAAGUAUUUUGGUUAUCGACAUUCGACAGGGAAUGGAUUCUGUCAGUGGUGCUAGGAAUCAUGUUUAUGCUUUGGUUGGACUACGGAUUUUGUGAAAGGAAAGGAAUUUUGAGAAAGAUCGAAGUCUUCCGGAGAACUUGGCACGUGUCUGCGCGCGUGAAAGGAUUCUUUUCAUCUGUGAUUUUCUCUGUGUAUGAUUUAUCUGCUGUGUACUACCAGCACUCGCGGCGGUAUCAUUUGCUGUGAGAGAAAUUUUCAGAUAUAGAGAAAUCUAGCAGUUGAAUCUUGUAUGGUAGUUGUAUUCUUGUACUAUCGGUUUCUGGGAAUUUUUUUCAUUCUCAUGUCAGCUUCUUUUUCUA